AUGGGCGCAAGCCUGAUGCAGCCAUGCCGCGUGUAUGAAGAAGGCCUUCGGGUUGUAAAGUACUUUCAGCAGUGAGGAAGGGUGUGACGUUAAUAGCUUCUUCUCUUGACGUUAGCUGCAGAAGAAGCACCGGCUAACUCCGUGCCCGCAGCCGCGGUAAUACGGAGGGUGCGAGCGUUAAUCGGAAUUACUGGGCGUAAAGCGCAUGCAGGUGGUUUGUUAAGUCAGAUGUGAAAGCCCGGGGCUCAACCUCGGAACCGCAUUUGAAACUGGCGAGCUAGAGUACUGUAGAGGGGGGUAGAAUUUCAGGUGUAGCGGUGAAAUGCGUAGAGAUCUGAAGGAAUACCAGUGGCGAAAGCGGCCCCCUGGACAGACACUG
This 379-nucleotide ribosomal RNA is filed under the name uncultured Vibrio sp. RNAcentral describes it as "bacterial SSU rRNA". It matches the Rfam family "Bacterial small subunit ribosomal RNA", at positions 371 to 742 of the family's 1533-position model. The record is from RNAcentral. Lineage: Bacteria; Pseudomonadati; Pseudomonadota; Gammaproteobacteria; Vibrionales; Vibrionaceae.